This 376-nucleotide long non-coding RNA is filed under the name Sarcophilus harrisii (Tasmanian devil). Its description in RNAcentral is "lncRNA (ENSSHAG00000031873.1)". The record is from RNAcentral. Lineage: Eukaryota; Metazoa; Chordata; Mammalia; Dasyuromorphia; Dasyuridae.
UGGCCGGCCGGAGAGCGCCGAAGGCAGCUCUCCUCAUGGGCUGGAAAGAGAAAUUCCGGAGGGAAGUCUUUUAAAAGGCCCAACUCCUCCGGACGGCUACUACUGAGCAACAUGGAGCCAGCUUGGAAAGCACCCCCGGCCACCUGAGUUAUGGGACUAUGGAGCCAGUCUCUUCGCCAGUCUGAGCCUCCAGUGCCUCUUGGACAAAGCGGGCGCAACCCUGUAAUAUAUCACGGGGCUCCUGUGAGCUGUGCAUUAUGUUUGGGUGCAUGCAUAUAAUAAGUAGGUAGGAUGAGAUUGCAAAAGUGAAACAACUGGGAUAGAAGCAGUUCCCAUUUUCUUAAAGUAGGAUCACAGUGUUGAAUCUGGAGAGACC